AACGAACGCUGGCGGCAGGCCUAACACAUGCAAGUCGAGCGCGUGUAGCAAUACACGAGCGGCGCACGGGUGAGUAACGCGUGGGAAUCUGCCCUACAGUGGGGAACAACCACGGGAAACUGUGGCUAAUACCGCAUACGUCCUUCGGGAGAAAGGCUUCGGCCGCUGUAGGAGGAGCCCGCGUCCGAUUAGCUAGUUGGUGAGGUAAUGGCUCACCAAGGCGACGAUCGGUAACUGGUCUGAGAGGACGACCAGUCACACUGGGACUGAGACACGGCCCAGACUCCUACGGGAGGCAGCAGUGGGGAGUAUUGGACAAUGGGGGAAACCCUGAUCCAGCCAUGCCGCGUGAGUGAUGAAGGCCUUCGGGUUGUAAAGCUCUUUUAGCGGGGAAGAUAAUGACGGUACCCGCAGAAUAAGCCCCGGCUAACUUCGUGCCAGCAGCCGCGGUAAGACGAAGGGGGCUAGCGUUGUUCGGAAUUACUGGGCGUAAAGGGCGCGCAGGCGGCUUUGCAAGUCAGGCGUUAAAGACCCAGGCUCAACCUGGGGAAUGCGCUUGAUACUGCAGAGCUUGAGAUCGGAAGAGGAGAGUGGAAUUCCCAGUGUAGAGGUGAAAUUCGUAGAUAUUGGGAAGAACACCAGUGGCGAAGGCGGCUCUCUGGUCCGAUC
RNAcentral lists this ribosomal RNA (669 nucleotides) under uncultured bacterium. RNAcentral's name for it is "bacterial SSU rRNA". It matches the Rfam family "Bacterial small subunit ribosomal RNA", at positions 28 to 740 of the family's 1533-position model. The record is from RNAcentral.